CUGGGAGGACCAUCUCCUAAGGCUAAAUACUCUCUAGUGACCGAUAGUGAACCAGUACCGUGAGGGAAAGGUGAAAAGCACCCCGGAAGGGGAGUGAAAUAGAACCUGAAACCGUGUGCUUACAAGUAGUCAGAGCCCGUUAAUGGGUGAUGGCGUGCCUUUUGUAGAAUGAACCGGCGAGUUACGAUUUGAUGCAAGGUUAAGCAGUAAAUGUGGAGCCGUAGCGAAAGCGAGUCUGAAUAGGGCGUUUAGUAUUUGGUCGUAGACCCGAAACCAGGUGAUCUACCCUUGGUCAGGUUGAAGUUCAGGUAACACUGAAUGGAGGACCGAACCGACUUACGUUGAAAAGUGAGCGGAUGAACUGAGGGUAGCGGAGAAAUUCCAAUCGAACCUGGAGAUAGCUGGUUCUCUCCGAAAUAGCUUUAGGGCUAGCCUCAAGUGAUGAUUAUUGGAGGUAGAGCACUGUUUGGACGAGGGGCCCCUCUCGGGUUACCGAAUUCAGACAAACUCCGAAUGCCAAUUAAUUUAACUUGGGAGUCAGAACAUGGGUGAUAAGGUCCGUGUUCGAAAGGGAAACAGCCCAGACCACCAGCUAAGGUCCCAAAAUAUAUGUUAAGUGGAAAAGGAUGUGGCGUUGCCCAGACAACUAGGAUGUUGGCUUAGAAGCAGCCAUCAUUUAAAGAGUGCGUAAUAGCUCACUAGUCGAGUGACACUGCGCCGAAAAUGUACCGGGGCUAAACAUAUUACCGAAGCUGUGGAUUGUCCUUUGGACAAUGGUAGGAGAGCGUUCUAAGGGCGUUGAAGCAU
This 807-nucleotide ribosomal RNA is filed under the name Staphylococcus aureus. RNAcentral's name for it is "partial 23S ribosomal RNA". It matches the Rfam family "Bacterial large subunit ribosomal RNA", at positions 444 to 1258 of the family's 2925-position model. Lineage: Bacteria; Bacillati; Bacillota; Bacilli; Caryophanales; Staphylococcaceae. The record is from RNAcentral.